ACAGAUUUUAGCUCAUUUCUGCUCUUCGGUUCUAACGAAGCUCGGGUUGAAGAAGCGUUCUUCAAGCUCAAACUCUGAGUCUCUGAGUGAGGCGCUUCUCCGAUCUUAGCCAGCCUACCGCAACGACACCACUUCGAUCAAUGAAGAGAAAUAAACGAGCGCCAACCAACAGAAACAGACCCCCAAAUCAAGAAGACGACGACGAUGAAGAAGAGCAUGAUCAGAAACCCUACCUUCUGCAUUUGCCAGAGCACAUAAUAAUGGAGAUCUUCUGCAAAAUCCCAACAAAAACCCUCAUCCAAUGCAAGCGCGUGUGCAAGUCUUGGCGUUCUUGGCUCUCGGACCCUCAAUUCACCAAAGAACUAUUUUCACGAACACCCGCUUGCCUCUUGGUCACUGGCGUCCGCUCGCGCUGGGGCCACUUCUUGGUCGACCUCGACAGGGCCGGGUGGCAAAACGACGUCGCCUUGAAGCUUUUCAGUAUAAGAAGUCUCCGAACUCUUUGUAUGACCAUUGUAGGCUCGUGCAAUGGCUUCCUCUGUCACUACGAAGCCCAUUUUGACUUGAGCCGUCAUCUUCACAUCUCCAAUCCAGUUACUGGUGAGUUUUUAUCUCUCCCAACACCUCCAAAUCCUGAUAGACGUGACUGUUAUGGUUUUGGGUUCAGCCCCAUCAGUGAGGUCUACAAGCUAGUUCGGGUUUUGUCUCCAUACGGAAAGCCUGACCAACCUGACCAAGUAAUGGUUUUGACUGUUGGCUCUGGCAUUUGGAGAAACAUUGGGCAUCCUGCCUACUCUUUUGAUGGUGUAACUCCUCAUGGGAUUUAUAUCAAUGGGUUUAUUCAUUGGAUUGGUCACAGUAGUAGUGACUGUUCCCGUUUGGUAUGUGCCUUUGAUGUCGAAAGCGAGCAGUUCCAAGAGUUACCACUGCCCCCUUGUAUUUAUGAUCUGGAUGAAACUUAUUUUAAGCUCGGAGUAUUGAAAGGUUGGCUCUCUGUAAUUCUUAACUUGAAUGAUGAUAUCAUUGUUUGGGUGAUGAAGGAUUAUGGAAUGAAGGAGUCUUGGACUAAAGAGCACGAGUUUAAAAAUCCAGUUGGUUUUUUUGGCAUUUCAGUAUUGAAUUUUACUGAGGAAGGGCAAGUCUUGGGGUUACAUCGUAAUCGAUUGCAGGCUUAUGCUCUGGUAACAAAGGGCCUUGUGAGGGUUGAGGUUGAUCAAUUACCUUCAGUGGUUUCGGAGGCAUGGGACCUUGUUCCGAGCUUUGUUUCGCUUAAGGAUAUCGCCAGAGGGCAGCUUGAAGGGAGAUGAAGGCCGGUUGGGUUAUCCCUAAGGGGUGUUUUGAAUUUCUGAGCACCAAGUUUGAGGCUUUGGGGAGGGGCAAGAAAGCCAAAACAUUACGGGGGUGCUUGUUGUUGGCAUUUUCCUGGAACAAUUUGGAUGGAGUGCAAUAAGAAUAUUUGAGGCUUAUAAGGGCGCGAGGGUAGAUGAACUCUGGGACAGAGUGAGUUCCUGCGAAGCUUUAUGGGCAUCGCUUUCAGCUGAGUUUAUGGAUUAUUAUCAUUCUUCUAUAAUGUUGGAUUUGUUAGCAGCUGCGAAGUGAUACUAGAUCUUUCAAAUUUUGAGGACUUCAGGGUUUGCAUCGUGUAUGAGCGAGCCCUUUACGAUCAAUGGUGGUUUAAUGACUCCAACUAUGAAAGUUCGAAGGAACAGAGUUGUUGCUCAGUACAAGGAGAAAAUAGAGAAUCUGUACAAGUAAAUCUCUUAUCCAGGAAUUAACAGAAGCAUUUUGAAGGGCAGGCAAUUUGCAUGAAACAAGUAUUGCAAAGCAUAGGUAGGUAGCCAGUCCAAUAGUUUUUCGAUUCCCCCUUUUGUUUAUUUUUUUUUAUUUUAUGCCUCUCCUAAUGAAAGGUCGAUAAAUAUCUACAAACUCACACACACGCCGAUGCGGGUGGUCAAGCCUAGGACCGCUCCUAGGAAGGGGCAAAGCCCCAGCCACUGUAACUGUGGUGCCCAGUCGCUUGAUUCCCUGUUUAGGCAAGUUCCUUGCUGUCCUGUCUCUUCAAGCAUAAUAUACUAUUUAAAUUUUUUGGAUUUAUAGUCUGUAACAGUGACGGGCAAGAAUUCUUGAAAUUUGUGUGCAUUUCUUACUUCAUUCCUGCAAGGAAGGUAAUAGUGUGAAGCAGCAGUUGGGCAGCGCACCCCGCAUAAGGUUGUAAUAUUGUCUAGGAUUGAAAUCGGCUUAAUAGUUCAAGUUCGUGUCGUGCUUAGCCUGCUUUGGCUCAUUCGAGCUCCAACUUGAGAGAACCAAAUGAAACAUGAAUAAAAGAUUAGGCUCGGUAUUGAAUUUGGUAUAUUCACUUCUAAAGCUUAUGUAUAGCUCAUGAAUAAAAGGAUGAGGUGAAGAGAAAAGGCGUAUAGAGAAAGAUGAGGCAGACAGAGUGGGAGGAGACUUGAGCGAAAAGUUUUGGACAAAAAUGCUGUUAAAAAGGUGAUAAUCUUGUGUGUCGUCCGUGAAGAAUUUUAACAAAAUUUCAGACGAAAUGUAUAUGCCUAUGUAUAUAAAUAGGACCCUUUGUAUUU
This is an RNA transcript of Prunus persica (peach), 2579 nucleotides long. It is a transcript of the gene named F-box protein At3g07870, with no coding region annotated. The record is from RefSeq and is a predicted model, not a curated record. NCBI's taxonomy places the organism in Eukaryota, Viridiplantae, Streptophyta, Magnoliopsida, Rosales, Rosaceae. The transcript is spliced from 4 exons.